Ziziphus jujuba (common jujube) is the source of this 345-nucleotide long non-coding RNA. RefSeq lists it as uncharacterized. The record is from RefSeq and is a predicted model, not a curated record. The transcript is spliced from 2 exons. Lineage: Eukaryota; Viridiplantae; Streptophyta; Magnoliopsida; Rosales; Rhamnaceae.
CAAAGAGAGUUUGGAACAUGCAGCCGCGGUGGCGACGCCGUGUUGUCCGGCACCGGUGGCCGCCACGAUGCUUGUCCUGCCCAUGCGUUUGGCGAUCAUCGCCUGGGCUAGGGCGUUGUUGAUCUUGUGUGCUCCACCAUGGCCGCGUGAGCCAAAUUGAACGGAGUCGCUAUCCGCAUAAAGAAAGAUUGGUGGGCCACAUUACCUACUUUUCCGCCACGUAUCUUUAUUUGUUUCCCUUUUUUUUUUUUUUUUUGGUUGUUGCUGUUAUUUCUGGAUGUCACUUCUCUACAACAGAUAUUUUUUUUUUUAUAUAUUUUCAAAUUUGGGUUUUUGAUCCGCAAA